AUAAUAACGAGGGGGCUUCUGGAGGGAGGCGGCAGCGACGGAGGAGGGGGCUUCUCAGAGAGGGAGGGAGGGAGCCACCCGGGUGAAGAUACAGCAGCCUCCUGAGCUCCCCCCUCCCACCCAGGCCGGGACCUGGGGGCUCCUGCCGGAUCCAUGGGGGCGGCCAGCUGCGAGGAUGAGGAGCUGGAAUUUAAGCUGGUGUUCGGGGAGGAAAAGGAGGCCCCCCGCUGGGCGCGGGGGGAUUGGGGGAAGAACUGGACUCAGAGGAUGCCCCGCCAUGCUGCCGUCUGGCCUUGGGAGAGCCCCCACCCUAUGGCGCUGCACCUAUCGGUAUUCCCCGACCUCCACCCCCUCGGCCUGGCAUGCAUUCGCCACCGCCGCGCCCAGCCCCCUCACCUGGCACCUGGGAGAGCCAGCCCGCCAGGACCUCUGCCCUACCCCCACUGGACUGGCCUCUGCCCAGCCAAUAUGAGCAGCUGGAGCUGAGGAUCGAGGUGCAGCCUAGAGCCCACCAUCGGGCCCACUAUGAGACAGAAGGCAGCCGUGGAGCUGUCAAAGCUGCCCCUGGCGGUCAUCCUGUAGUCAAGCUCUUAGGCUACAGUGAGAAGCCACUGACCCUACAGAUGUUCAUCGGCACUGCAGAUGAAAGGAACCUGCGGCCUCAUGCCUUCUAUCAGGUGCACCGUAUCACAGGCAAGAUGGUGGCCACGGCCAGCUAUGAAGCCGUAGUCAGUGGCACCAAGGUGUUGGAGAUGACUCUGCUGCCUGAGAACAACAUGGCGGCCAACAUUGACUGCGCGGGAAUCCUGAAGCUUCGGAAUUCAGACAUUGAGCUUCGGAAGGGUGAGACGGACAUCGGGCGCAAAAACACACGUGUACGGCUGGUGUUCCGGGUACACGUGCCCCAGGGCGGCGGGAAAGUCGUCUCAGUACAGGCAGCAUCGGUGCCCAUCGAGUGCUGUGAGCAAAGAGGCCCUGGGCCAUCUCUCUGUCUCUUGCAACUCUUUUGUCUGUGUGUGUGUGUCUGCCUGCCCAUUCCCUCUGCAGCGUCAUGUGCCCUGUCUGUCCUGGGUAGCUCUAUAGAGGACUCAGCUUCUUUCUAUUCUAGUUUGCCCCUGCCACAGACUCUGUCUCUGGGGUGGCCCAGAGUGACACUGGACCCUAUCUAUUCCUGGGGUGCCCUGUGCCCUUGUUUGGGAAACUCCCUGGUCUACCCUGUUUAACCCUCUCUCCACUCUGGGAGUGGCCCCUUACAUGGUGUGUGUGACUCCAUGGAUAUUACUGGUUUAUUUGUGUGUCUACUGCUGAGGAGGGCUCCCUCAGAGCCCUGUGGCAGUUUUCCCAAAGAGGGUGGGGACAGAGGAGGCCACCCCUCCAUGCCCAGCCCAGCCAGUCCUCUUCCUUGCACUGCUCUGCAGCCCAGCGCUCAGCCCAGGAGCUGCCCCAGGUGGAGGCCUACAGCCCCAGUGCCUGCUCUGUGAGAGGAGGCGAGGAACUGGUACUGACUGGCUCCAACUUCCUGCCAGACUCCAAGGUGGUGUUCAUUGAGAGGGGUCCUGGUGAGUACCUGCUGGGGAGGGGAGGGCAGGCAGGGAGAGCUUGGGAGUGGCAGGUGAAACAUCUCUGGCAUUGUCACUAAAUUAGCCAGUGGAGCCUCAGUUUUUUUAUUUGUAAAAUGGGACAGACAGACUACCCUUUCUAUUAUACUGUCUGCUUUCCGUGUGGGAUGGGUACGACAGCAAUCUAAAAUGUUGAGGAUGCUGAACAAAUGGAAGCAAUGCACAUUCUGUCUAAUAAAGA
RNAcentral lists this small RNA (1800 nucleotides) under Pongo abelii (Sumatran orangutan). RNAcentral describes it as "retained intron". Lineage: Eukaryota; Metazoa; Chordata; Mammalia; Primates; Hominidae. The record is from RNAcentral.